UGGCUUCACUAUUUUCAGCCUCUCUCUCUCUUUUCACCACCUCCGCUGUCUCUGGAAACUCGUUGUCACAGGCACACGCAUAUCACCACUACAACCGCGUCUCCCAUUGCCCCAGCCCCACCCCUUUCUUCUCGCCCUCCUCUGCUAUCCAGCAAACACCAGAGACAGGAAAGGUGCCUGUUCGCCCCCCCCUUCCCACAGCCACGCAAGAAGGCCCCUCCCCUACAAAAAAAAAUAAUAAGGCGAGGCAUCAACGGAAGAGAGCGAGGCGCACAUAUAUUUGUGCUUAUGUGUGUGUCCUUCUCCCCUCUCCCCUUCAUAUCAUCUUCCUUUCGCAGUGGCGGUGUUUUGUUUUCCUUGUAUGUCUUUUUUUUACAAUAUAUUACAUCCUUUGUGUUGGUUACAUCCAUUGUAUUCUCAGUGCCUUCGCCGCCCACCGCCGCCGCCGCUGCUGCCCUACUCCCUCCCAUUCAUUUUCCGCCUCCCUCUGGGCACUUUGUGUUUCUCCUCUUUUGUUUGUGCUCGCUGUGUGCCCUCUAUCGCUCUUCCACUGGACCCGUUGUGUGCGCGUGUGCUUCUUUCUGCUUUCUCGCUUAGCCCUUCUUCGCUUUCUUUUGUGCUCCCUUCUCCCUCUUCCCCUCUCGCCCUCUCCCUCUCCCUCUCCCUCCCCCCGUGACUUGCACCAUUCUUUUUUGCUGCUGCUGUUGCUGUUUCUUUGUUUUUGGUCUCCUUCCCUUUCCUCUUGAAUUCGCUUCUCUCUUCCAAGUCCCUGUCACUCUGUGUGUGCGUGUGCUACGUUCUUGUACCCGUUUUUCGAACCCUCGUGCCUUGCCUUUUUGUGUAUCCUUUUAGGUGCCGACUUCACUCUCUACCGCCCAUCCCCUUCUUCCUGUUCCGCUUCUUUCUCCCAGGCAGACCCUGUGUGUAUCAAAAAUGAGGAUGCCGUCAGUCUUUACUGCGCCAUCGACGUACAUGGCCGACCUCGAAGUCGGCGCGGCGACUGCAUACCACGCGCACUCCGAAGCCGCCACGGCAGGUGAGAGCGAUACGUGCAAGCCGGCUGCCACCACCGCAUCAACACGGCCGCCUUUGGCGCCGCACGCUGCGGACGCGGAUGCACACAAUGCAGUGGAGCUGUCGAUCAGCAGCACUGCUGUAGCGCCGGCUUAUCAGCUACGCGGCGAGCUCGGCCGUGGCCAGUACGGCUGCGUCUACUUGGUGGAAGAGUGUGUGCGGCACCAUCUGCUCGCUGUGAAAGCUACGUACGACCCGAUUCAAGUCGCUGCGGUGCGUGAACGGCAGAGGCGCCAGGAGCGGCAACAGCAGAAGCCGUCCAAGGGCUCCGGUGGCUGUGCUCGAGAGGCAGCGUUCUCGCCGUACGCGCAACACGAAGAGGGCCACGCUGUGGUACCGUUUCCACCCCUACUGCCGCACUUCAGCAACGAGGUUAUGUGUCUGCGGGAGUGCCACUCGCCCUUCAUUGUCCGCCUUGAGGGGGCCGAUAAAGGUGAGAACGGCGAGGAUCUGCUGCUCAUGGAAUACGUCGACUGCGGAGAUCUUCGCCGAGAGAUUCGGCGACGGUGCGCCGCGGGCACGCCCUUUACCGAGACAGAAGCCGUCUUUGUGUUCCUGCAGCUCUGUAUGGCUGUCGAUCACUUGCAUCAGCUGAACAUCUUGCAUCACGACUUGAAGCCAGAGAACGUCAUGCUUAGUAGCACCGGCAUCAUCAAGCUCGGGGACUUUGGUUUUGCAAAGAAGUACAGGGAGCCGGUAUCCCAGCGUGUCGCAUCGACGGGGUGUGGCACUCCGUACUACCUCAGCCCUGAGGCACUCCGUGGCGACCGGUACUCUCUCAAGAGCGAGAUGUGGGCACUCGGUGUCAUCCUCUACGAACUCCUGGCACUCACCGGCCCCUUUGCUGCUGCGACGCGCGCGGAGCUGCGAGCCAAAGUUCACAACUCCGACUACGCCAAGCUGCCGGCAACCUACUCAAAUGAGCUGCGGUCGGUGUGCUAUCAACUACUGACCCUCGACCCCGACCAGCGCCCCUCGACGCGCGACCUGUUCCAGGACAACGAAUACCUGCGCGAAAAGCUCAACGCGCUACGCCGCAUCUCCGAGUGCUCCGUGAAUAUGAGCACGGAGGAGAAAGGCUCCAUGUUUCAUUCGAUUAGUGCUGCACUGCGCCGCAAGCCGCCAAGCGCGAAAGGGCCCGCCACCGCCUCGUUUAACCUUGGAUGGGGUGGCAGCUGCAAAAUUAGCUCUCAUGGUCAUGGCAGCGCGCGACCUGAAGCAGCACCGAAGCCUCGAGUGGAGAGACCGGCAGAGAUGACGCCAGUUGCGCGGACCCGCAGUGUAUGCUAACGAAAAAAAAGGUGAGAACAACGCGCACGGUCUUUGCAGGACGCGAUGGACUCCUCCUAAGCCUUCCUCCCCCCCCCCUCUACGUGCCCGAACUUGUAGUGCGCGUGUGCCUCCACGUGUGCCUCUUCCCUUUAGCUGACUUGCAUCGUCCCGUGGGCGCGCGCCCCUCUCUCUCACUCGCGCGCUCCGUCCAACCAUACUUUAUUUUGUGAUGGUCGUCGUUUGUUUUUCUUGCUUGCUUUGUUUUUUGUAGGACUCUUUCACCUGGGGCUCCUUUCUAUUCCUAAGGCAGGGUGCGCUCAUCCGAUCUUUGCUCUCCGCCAUCGCGUGCCCAGGACAUAUUUCGCUCUAUCCCCCUUCCAUGUCGUCUGCUAUAGUGGAUUGCGUCACUUGGAUGCACUACUUGUCUCUUUCCCUCUUGCUUUCUUCCCUCCACCCGCGCCCCUCUUAUCCCCUUUACCUUGUUGCCCUUGCCGCCUCAGCUGCCAUUAAUUCUGCUACUUCCUUGUUAUAUGUCUACUACACGUGGUCUCUUGGCGACUAGCACCAUCAGCCAGCGUCUCCCCCUCCCUCCCUCACUCAGCCCUCUCCGCUUUUCCUUAUCUCCCCAGCUGGGGGUCUGAGUGAUGCACGGUGGUACACACAUGCAGAGAGAGAUGGAGGAACCCUGGAACCUUCCUCCUUCUUCUUCCCUCCCAACCCGAGCCACCUGCCACAUAUUCUGGCUCUUCUUUGUGGUUCUUUUACGCCCGUGCCCGUGUACACGUAUAUUUGUUGAUUUGCUCGUGGUAGAGUGGAACACCGAAGAGGAUAUAGAUAUCUGUAUAUGUGUAUGUGAGUAUAUGUAUAUAUAUGUGUAUUUGCGCUAGUGUACGCUCGUUUUAUUUUUCUGUGCUUCUGCUUCGAUAUCGAGAGCUGCUUUGAUCGAUAUCUCUCAACACCUAAAAAUAUAUAUGUACAUGUGUGCAUAUGCGUGUAUGUGUGCUCUGAGGUGCACCUCCAGGCCAGUGUUUUGUUUGUGUUUGUCUCAGCUCUCUCCUGAUUUAUUUUGUUUUUUGGGGGAGAGGAAGGUGGCUUCUAUCUCUCCCUUUCAUUUUUUUUUUGCGUCCUUGUUGCCUUGGAAGGAUGGUGGGUGGCACCCACAACAGAACAAAACGGGAAAGGAGCGUUGACUUGGUGCACCUUGUGACUGUUCUUCGUCCUGUCUGAUUCCGGAAUCCGCACGCAAACGCAGUCUCUGUCUCUGUCGCUUUCCCUAUUGAAAGCCCUACCAUGAUCCCAAGCACCAACACGUGUAUGUUUGCCUCCCUUCCACACACGCACACACGCUUCUUUCAUAUUCCCCCACCCCUCUCCUUCCCCCUUUUCGUAUGUGUGCUCGUUUUUUUUUGAGGGGGUUGUCGUUUCACGUGCAACAAUGAGCGCCACUUUUGUGUGCUAUCUAUCACCCUUUUUUUUUGCGGUUGCAUUUCUCUUCACAUAUCCCUGCGCGCCUUCACGUUAUAUGUGUGUGCAUGCGUUACGCUCCCCUUACUGUUUUUAAUCACACUUGUGUAACGCGUUCAUGUGUGGUAAUGCUUUAUAUCGCUGCAUGGAUUUUUUGUGCGCUCUGUUGUUGUCCGUUAGCUUCCUCUACUUUACCUCCCUCUCCCUCUCUUUCCCUCCUCCUUCUUUCCUUUCUCCCUAUUCUACCUCUUCCUGGCAUCCCCCACGUUGUUUCUAUGUUGUGUAUUUUCACGGCUUCUGCGUGCCAUCUUUCUCGCUUUCCUUCCUCUGUUCUUUUUUAUUAUUAUUCUACCUCCAGCCUUUGUGCUGUUUUAAAGGUGAGCAUGUGUGUGAUCGUGUAUCGUGCCUGCUUUUCUUCCUCCUCACCCACUCCCCUAUCUGUACUGCUAUCCCCCCUCCCUCCCUGAUUUUCUUGUUGUGGCUCUCUUCUGUAAACUUUUGUGUUGGGUGCGUGACCCUCAUCUCCGUCUAAUUGUUUUUUUUUUUAGCUGCACGCGUGUUGCCUUACUCUUGCCAUGUUUGUCUUGUGUUUUUCUUUCGGUUUCUUCUACACCCUGCCCUAACCUAUUCUGCCCCCCCCUGCACGCUCCACCCCUCUCUGCAUGCGCACACGUGCAUAUACAUGUCUGCCUUUAUCGCGCGGGUGUGUGCGUGCUUCUCUGUCAAGGCGACGCAGACAGAAAGGCGAGGCGUGCUCUCUCGCUUUUCUUCCCGCGCUUACCUCCGUGUCCCCUACCUGGUCACCUGAUACUAUUUUCCGUCUGUGCCCCCUCCCUCCCUCCCUCCCUCCCUGUUCUCUCCUUUUGCUUUCGCGUAUUCGGGCUUCUUAUUGUGUCGAUGACGCUGACAAGGUAUGGGCGCUUACCGUAGCGAGUUGCCCUGCCCCAUCCCCUGCCCUUUCACCAGGUUGCACACCAGCAAGCGAAAGUAAACAAAAAGAGAUCUCGGCUGAUUCACCGGACGUGUGCGCAGCCGGUGGAUUGCUUAUGCGACUUGUCACCGACGUGUCACGUUGUGCGCAGCCGAAAACGUGUUAAUCUACCAAAAGAAGAAACGAAGUACCGGCGGUCUUACCUUUACUGACGCCGGUGUGCUUCCUAGGUCGCUCUGUUUCUCGCUCUCCCUCUCUUGAUGAGAGCAACAGGUUGCGUGCGAGAGUGGCGAAGAGAGGAGGAGGGGAGGAAUAAAAUUUUCAGCGUGCGACGCGGGAAGGAUAUGCGCAGAAGACGACUUGAAUAGUGACUGGGCACCCCGUUGGAGAGCAAAAACAAAGAGAAAGAUGAUGCACGAGAGGAAGCGGGCGGUUAUCGCCUGAAUCGGUGUCCCUUCACCCUCUCCUACCCCCACCCCUAUCCCUUUGCUUGAUGCUUUUCUUCUUUUACGCUGUUCAUUUUCUUGGCGGCCUUUUUAGUGACGCGUGGCAGGUGUGGAGCUGUCAUCUCCGUCUUCCUUCAUUCUCUAUGCUCCUUAUUUCUUUCGUAUACGCUUGGAAAACGUAUACCGUCUUAGCUCCCCUCUCUUAUCUCCGUUAGUCAGUGUGUAUCUCACCCUCGACUUCGUUUUGUGUUUGUCUGUCCCUUUCUCUCCCUCCUUUCCAGUACUGGUGCCUUCUUGUAUGUGUUUGUGUGUCUGUGUGUUUUGCUCGAUGCAUGCAGGAGGGUGCUGAAUGUGUCGCAUGUGCCUUUUCAUGUGUGUAUAUAGGUUUUUGAAGUACUGGAACUAUUUCAUUCCUAUAUGCAUGCUGAGGCACCAACAAUACAGAUGUACCCCUCUUCUCCUCCCACGUGUAGCUUGAGUGAUUUUUUCCCUUUUCCUCUAUCCCUCUCCUUCAGGUAGAAGGAGCUACGUAAUUCGUCGUUCUUUCUCUUUUCAGUGCAUUUAUGUAUGUGUAUGUGUGUGUUUAGGCGCUCUCUUGAUGGCACCUCUUUUCGUUCCUUGCACCCCUGUCCGAUCUUCGGGCCUUGCAUGAUUUCUUCUUCUCGCUUUCUCUUCUCUUGGUCAGCAUUUCUCCCUUUUUUGUGGUUUGCCCGUUUUGUUGUAUAUUUUUAUGCCCCGUUGCUGGUGAUAGCUCGUUUUCCUGCUCACGCCCUUUCAAUCGCAUUUUAUAUUUCGCUCGCUUGAGUGCAUGCCCGCCGAAGUCUCUUUCGGACUCGUCUCUCUUUUUUUUCGUUUCUCUCUCUCUCGCUCGCUGUUGUCCCUCCUCCCCCUCCCCGGCGUGCGAUGGAUGCUGUGAUGUGGUCAGGUGUGCAUUCCUUCGUUUGCCGACAAGGAAUCGGAUCGGAAGUCUCCCUCCGCGCCCCUUUCACACACACACACGGAGAAGACAUGUCGGUGCAACUGGGACGCGAGUGGACAGGAGGCGCACAACGCAGAAGUCCGACGGAAAGGCGUCGUGGGAUGAAGGGAGGGGCGGCGAAUGCAGUCGCUUUGACACUCUUGCUCGUUGGCCGUCCUCCCCCUCCUCCCCCUGCACCUGUCCGCCUUCGCCGGCGCUGAUUCACGCCACACGCGCCCGACAAACACACGCGGUGAAGCACCGCAGAGGCGCCUCAUUCAGAAACAAAAAAAAAAACGAAAAACUGGCAACGGCGUUUAGUUAAUUAUUACUUGAUGCCGUCUUCGUCUUCUUUUUCUCUCUGUAUGGCUCUCUCACUUGCUUCUCGCCGUCCCUCUCUUUCUCUUGUCGAAGCGUCCCUCUAUCUGAUCUAUUCGUUUUUUUUUUCAUUCUUCCCUCUGAGUUUUGUUUUUGCUUUCCUUCGCAAUGAUGCUGUACCGCCAAACUCACUCGUACACGCUGCGCAAGACGCGUCGCUACUCUCGCUCGCCCUCCAUCACCCUCCCUCCCUCAUCUCCAGCCACGAAGAGCACCGCAGCCGACAAACAACAAAGGUACAGCAGCGAACGAAAACGCCGCUGCCCAAGUGUGUACGAUCUUCCGCAAGAGCGUGGAAGCAACGUGGUGCCCAAGAGGGAGCCCAUUUUGAUAUGGUGAAGGGGACGCAAAUGUGAUAGAGGGGAAGAGGCUGGGCGGAAAGAGAAUGAAGUGGGGCAGUGCGGGACGCAGAAAUCUGGAUCCAUCUGCAAGAAUCGGCUGCGUACUUUGCAUUCAUCCGUGUCUGUACCUAUGUGUGUGCGCGUGUAUGUUUGUAUUUGUGCGUCUUCUCCAGCCACUUCUUCUCCCUUUUCUGUUCGGUGUGAUGUUUUCGUAACCGUUUUAUUCGUGGUGAUGUUGUUUUGCGGAUCGGUCCCUCCCCCUCUUCCUUUUUUUUCUGUUCUUCCACUUGCACCAAAGAACACGUGGAAGGCGUCGAGAAGAUAUGUAUAUAUAUAUAUAUAGGUGGUAUACAUGCAGAAUGAUGGGAAUCAUCAACGGCCGAUUCUCUCUCUGUGAUGUGGCUAGAGUCAAAACUACAUACCCCCUCCCCUCAUCCUCUCUUUUUCUUUGUUUCGCAUAGACUGAAGUGUGCAUACACAGAGACACACACACCGGCGCAAGGAAGCAUCACGUACGAAAGAAACAGAAAGAAGAGCGGCAGAAAGGCGCGCAUCAUCACCCCCAUUUGCCGAGAACGUCCUCUCUGCCCCACCCCACCCCCUCUUCUCCUCUUUUCUCCCGUUUCGUUGGUCUUCGCUGUCCUCUCCCCUUCCCCUUAUUUCCUCCUCUGUCACACCCUGCACUCUGCGUGGUCAUCUACUUCUCCUGUCAGGUUUUGCUUGUUUGUUUUGAUAAGCGAUCAGCCUCGAAGCGAAAGUGAGGUGCAGAUUUUGUUGUGCCCCCGUCCCCCUUGCUGUGCUUCCGUUGCGGUUGCCGUUUUUUUUUCUUUUGCGGUGUCUCCGGUCUCUGCGCACUCCUAUCCAACCUUUACCCGAUCUACCAAGGUAGUCUCCCCCUUUCCACACACGCACACGUGUCACACAUUCCAUCUUCGCGUUCCUCUCGCGCUUACCAUUAUGGCCAAGCGCUUCGUCUUUUGUUUUCCGCUUGCUGUACUGUUUUCCAUCCUCUUUUUUUUUCUUUCGUCUCCCUCCCCUCUCCUUUCUACUUUGGGUGCGAAGUGCGCGUGUAUAUAUGUGUCUUGUGAGCAUCCUAUGCGCACAUGCAUACCUGCAGACGCACACGUGGGCUGUCUUGUGCGACCCCCGCCCUCAUUUCUUCCCUCUAUGGCGCCCUUACCCGUUCCCCAGGCUCAUUGACACGCUCUCUGCCCCUCUCCCUUCUUUUGCCAUGAGGCACGUUCUCUUCAGGUGGAGUUUUCGUUUUCUCGUGUGCUGGAACCCACAACGUGUGCUGUAUGCACGCGCUCACAAGCAGGCGCGCUUGGCAUACGUACCCACCGGCGCAUAAAAUUUAAAAUGCCCCCGUGCCUUUGUGUCUAACUUUCCCCGUCCUCCUUUUCGUUUGUUUCGUCGCUUUUCUUCGUAGUGGGUCAUACAGACGUCCAGUGCACACCGUCAAAACAAGGAGAAACGAGCGAAGCAGGCAAGUUUGAAAACCCAAAGAAGCAUCCACCACCGCCCGCCUCCCCUGCUCCGCAAGUUGGUCUGCACGGGAAGUGCGAGACAAGCUGGUACCCAAGCCAGACCCUUUUCAGUUAUGUUCUCUCUUUUUGUUAAUGUAAGUGAGCCAUCAUCGCACCUCCACUUUGGCAGUUUUUGCCUUCUUCCAGAGCUCUCCUCUUCUCGUCACCCACCUUCUUAUCACUAGCAUGUGUCUGCUGACGAAGGCUUCUUUCCUAAGGUCAUGCAUGUGGGUUUGCUCUCGUCCCCGUUGAGCUAAAGGGACAAGCGUUCCCCCUACCUCGCCCUCUCCCUCGGUUUUGUACCCCUUCAUUUCAGCUUCCGCCACACCACAUAAAAAAAAUAAAAAGGAAUCAUGCUACUAAAGCACGGAGGAAACAAGACAACAAUCAAGGCCCCCCUCCCCCACCGAUACUAGCGUGUGUACAAACGGAGCCAGUGCGUGUGCGUGUGCGUUGGCAGGCACGGGCGCUUUCCUACACGCGCGUCUCGUAGCGCUUCUCUCGCCGCAUCUUCUCCGUUUUUCGUUGUGUUUUCCUCCUUCCUUUUUGUUUUCCUUCCGCUCUCCAAGUUGACUUGAACCUUGUUGAACUAUCCUGUCUCUAUUUGUGUUAGCGCUCCUUUUCGUACGACUCAUUGCGUAUACACGCGCACACCCAUCAAGGGCUUGUGUCCUCUUCAGCUGUUUUUUUUUUUUGGGGGGGGGGGGGUUCCCCCACACCACCUCCCACCCAUUAGUAUGCCGCUCACGCCUUCUCUACUUUCCGUGUUCUCUCUCUCGAUUCCUGUAUUUGACUUGGUUCGAUUUCUGUGCUUCUCAGUUUUUGCUUUGUGCUUCUUUCUUCUGGGCCUCUUCUCACCUGAUUCAUGCCCCUCCCCUCCCCCGUCCGUUUCACUUCAGGUAGCCGCAUGUGUCUGCCUUUGUGUGCUGUUCAAGUGCGUUGGAUUCUGUCAAUCCCUCUUUGCGUCUUCUCUUCCUUCGCCUCGCCCUCCCCCUUUUCUUGUUCUGGGGUUGUACCUCUGUGCGUGUGUAUGUGCAUGUACGCGUUCUCCCCCCUCCCUCCCUUUGUGUGAGCGUUCGCGUGUGUUCAGCCGGGAAUGAGUGCAACUACGUGUUUCUUUUUCUUUCGCGAUACCUUCUUUCAAAAUAUAUAUAUACGCCUGAUUGUAACGUCUUUCCUGUUCCAGUGCUUUUUUAUAUCUCGUCCAUCCUCGUCCUCCCCCGCCCUGCCCGAUCUCCCCCUCUCCCCCUCUGUGCUCCUUUAUGUGUGGCUGCUGAUGCCGCCCUGGAGCCUUCCUCUGUUUUCUUUUCUAAAUUCGAUUGCUGUGCUUGCUUUCGGUAUUCAUAUUUGCGCAAAGAUACGCACACGGGGACAUUACUUCGGUGUUCGCAUCCUCCCCUCCUCCUUUUUUUUUUCGGGGAGGGGGCGUCGCACCCAUGGAAGAAGCGCACAGCCAAAGAGAUGCUCCGUUUAACGGCGACCCUCGUCAUGCUUUUCAAUGCGCGCACCGACGGAAGCGCGUGCAGAAACAUGGGCACACGUCAAAAGAAGAUGCGCUGGCCGACUACUAUUCAUACACGUAACUUUUUCGUCCUAUUUUGUCGUAAGGCAGAGUGGACAAGGUGGAGCAGCGUAUGGCUUCUUUUCUCCCCUCCCCCUCCUCUCUAACCUGCUAGCCACCUCCUCUUGCUGGGCCCUAGCCUUCCCAUCUCCGGCAUUGCACCACUUCUUUGUGUCGGCACCGGCCUACGCCCUGUCCUUCCUACCCCCUCCCUCCCCCCGCGCGCGCGCAGCCGUUCAGCCGCUUGAAUUCACCCGUUUCUCUCUCCCUCUCUUUCUGUGGUUUUCGUUCUCGUUGAAGACUGAACGAACUCUUCUUUUUGGUGCUAUUUCCCUCUCUUCUUGUGUUGUGUGUGCGCGUCCUUUCUCUCUCUUCCCCUCCCUCUCUGCAGAGCCGAAGCUGGCAUUUUUAUUUUGUUGCUCGGAAAAGGGUAAGUGGGUUACCUGCUUUUUCUUUGAAAACCUCAUCCUCUCGCUUUCCUUUUCUUGGCUCGCGUGCGAUGCCUUCUGAACUCGCGUAUGCGUGUAUUCCUCUAUGUGCACGUGGAAAGCAGGUGAACGGAGUGCUCGUGCGGCUGCACCACCCCUACCAGGAGCCAAGAGAGGUUGGUCGUCAGGCAAUCACGAGCAGCAGCGCAUCGCUUUGCAAAGAAAAACAGAAAAACGCUCUCGGCUGCCCGUGUGCCUCGCUGUCUUGAUCUCUCCAGCUUAUUCUUGUUCUCUUAGCCACGCCCCUUUCCGCAUACUAAACACGUGCACACGUGCGCGUGUGUGUGUGUGUACGUGCGUGAAAGCCGUGUGCUGCAUGCUUUUUUUUUUCGCGUCGUCGUCUUGAUCGCAACGCAGUGAACCACACAUGUUUCUGUUCGCUUUUUUUCUUUGUUGCUGAAGGGUUGCCGCCAUGGUAUCCGGUGCGGCAGGUGUGCAUAUGCGGUGCUUUUCUCCCCUGCUUGUGUGUGUGUGUCGUUUUUUUUUACUUCCUCCCCUCUCUCUCUGUUGUUCUUAUUCUCUUUUCUAAUUCAAGCCGGGAUCGCUCUCACCAGAGCCUCCGCUGUUUGUGAAUAAACGGGUUUGAGUGCGUGUGUGCAUCGCCUCGAUGUGCGAGGUGGUGCUCAACUGAGUUUGAGUAAGUGAACACGUGUGUCUGUAUAUAUAUAUAUAUAUUCAUCUACCGGGGAUCCCUUCUCUUUGCGUUUGCUCUCUCCUUUUCUACCCCCGCCCGCCCCCCCCCUUCCUGCAGCCAUUCCUCCGUGUUACUCGUGUUGAAGACGCUCUGUGUUGGUAGCAUGGGGAUGCUGAAGUGGUAUAAGCAUCAGCUGAUGUUCUCACUCCCUCUGGCUUCUGUCAAAUGUGUACUUGCGUUCACGGUGAGUCGAACGGGGCGAGUACAGCUGGUGGGCCUGGAAGAACCCACACCGACAUGCCGAGGAGGUGUGCAUCAUCGCCCCUCUUAAAAAAAAAAACGAUAUGAAGUCAACACGGCGAAAGGAAAGAAUAGAGAUCUUUUUUUGUUUUAGCAGGUACAGAGAAAAGUAUAUGUGGGUGCAUGCGUGGAUCUCAGCGAUGUGUGUCGGUGUAUGCGCGGGGAAAGGGGGUGGUACGAGUGAGAAGGUGUGGUGGGCGACGUCCAAGAAAACCGACGACGCCGCUGCCUCUGCACUCCAUAUUUUCUUUUGAUGCCCCCCACCCCCACCCCACCCUGCCUUUGUUGAUCCGCUCUGCGCCAUCCCAGCCGGCAUCAGCAGCUCUCAUCCCACUGUAUACCCCCUGCAUAUAUAUUUCUGUGUCCCUUCCAGUUCCACCGCCGAUACGCGGUAAGAUGGUCAUUGUCAAUCUCUUGUGCUUUCGUGUAUCUGCUCUCUGGGCCACCGGUGAGGGGGAGGAGGGGGAGUGUUAAGUCACCUAAAC
Molecule: unclassified non-coding RNA, 11858 nt
Filed under: Leishmania donovani
Lineage: Eukaryota; Euglenozoa; Kinetoplastea; Trypanosomatida; Trypanosomatidae
Description: gene:LdHU3.36.3220(CDS-product:serine/threonine_p rotein_kinase_putative)
Source: RNAcentral